Molecule: unclassified non-coding RNA, 265 nt
Filed under: Hevea brasiliensis (rubber tree)
Lineage: Eukaryota; Viridiplantae; Streptophyta; Magnoliopsida; Malpighiales; Euphorbiaceae
Source: RNAcentral
GAAGAUUCUAAUUUUGUUUGUGGGGUUUUUGUUUCUAGUGGCUGAAAUGUUGAAUUUGGUGAGUUUUGGAUGCUCAUUUUGUUUGUGGGUUCAAAAAAUUUGAUCGGGAAAACCCUAAAGAUUGUAUUUUUGUUUGUGGGUUUUUGUUUCUGGUGACCGAAAUGUUGAAGUUGAUGAGUUUUGGGUGCUCAUUUUGUUUGUGGGUUCCAAAUUUUUGGGGUUAUUGAAAAUUUGAUCUGGAAACUCAAAAGAUUUUUAACUUUAU